GCUCCGGUGGCUUAGUGGUUAGAGCGUCUGUCUCUGAUGCGGAAGGUCGUGGGUUCGAUCCCCGUUCGAGUCA
Molecule: non-coding RNA, 73 nt
Organism: Potamilus streckersoni
Lineage: Eukaryota; Metazoa; Mollusca; Bivalvia; Unionida; Unionidae
Source: the annotation of a GenBank genome assembly